This 301-nucleotide ribosomal RNA is filed under the name uncultured bacterium. RNAcentral describes it as "partial 16S ribosomal RNA". It matches the Rfam family "Bacterial small subunit ribosomal RNA", at positions 509 to 808 of the family's 1533-position model. The record is from RNAcentral.
CAGUAGCCGCGGGAAUACGUAGGUCCCGAGCGUUGUCCGGAUUUAUUGGGCGUAAAGCGAGCGCAGGCGGUCAGAUAAGUCUGAAGUUAAAGGCUGUGGCUUAACCAUAGUACGCUUUGGAAACUGUUUAACUUGAGUGCAAGAGGGGAGAGUGGAAUUCCAUGUGUAGCGGUGAAAUGCGUAGAUAUAUGGAGGAACACCGGUGGCGAAAGCGGCUCUCUGGCUUGUAACUGACGCUGAGGCACGAAAGCUAGGGGAGCAAACAGGAUUAGAUACCCGCGUAGUCCCUGUCUCUUAUACA